This 301-nucleotide long non-coding RNA is filed under the name Androctonus crassicauda. Lineage: Eukaryota; Metazoa; Arthropoda; Arachnida; Scorpiones; Buthidae. The record is from RNAcentral.
GCUUCUUAGAGUGUUAUAACCUAUUUUUCAGGUUCGGUUUUCCUGCAAGGGUCUUGUAGCUGCAUGCUUCUGGUCUUUUUGGACUCCUUCAGUGUGUACUUCUCUGCAGCUGGUGUUUUUGCUGCCGUUCUGUCGUUUGUAGGCUCUUGGUCUUCUUUCCUGGUCAUUGUUUUGAUGGUUUCUUGGGUUGAUGCCUGUGAUGUUGCCAUGAUUGGCGUUAUUAUUUUGGCCUGGUCCCAUUCUAUUUGUGUGUCAUUGUUGUAUGCUUCUUUGGCUGGGGCUGUUGUUGUUCUGCCUGCCG